RNAcentral lists this ribosomal RNA (301 nucleotides) under uncultured bacterium. Its description in RNAcentral is "partial 16S ribosomal RNA". It matches the Rfam family "Bacterial small subunit ribosomal RNA", at positions 509 to 807 of the family's 1533-position model. The record is from RNAcentral.
CAGUCGCCGCGGUAAUACGAAGGGGGCUAGCGUUGCUCGGAAUUACUGGGCGUAAAGGGAGCGUAGGCGGACUGUUUAGUCAGAGGUGAAAGCCCAGGGCUCAACCUUGGAAUUGCCUUUGAUACUGGCAGUCUUGAGUACGGAAGAGGUAUGUGGAACUCCGAGUGUAGAGGUGAAAUUCGUAGAUAUUCGGAAGAACACCAGUGGCGAAGGCGACAUACUGGUCCGUUACUGACGCUGAGGCUCGAAAGCGUGGGGAGCAAACAGGAUUAGAUACCCCGGUAGUCCCUGUCUCUUAUAC